RNAcentral lists this long non-coding RNA (6024 nucleotides) under Lynx pardinus (Iberian lynx). The record is from RNAcentral. Lineage: Eukaryota; Metazoa; Chordata; Mammalia; Carnivora; Felidae.
CUGCCUUUUGCUUCCACCCUGGAACGUGCACACAGAAUGCCAGUCACGGAGUGGGAGCAAGUGUGAGUUUGGUACUUAGGGCCAGCUCGGGGAAUCCCCAGGUGAGGUUUUCCUAGCUCUUGGCCAGACUUCCUGCUGGAGCCUCGAAGGCAAUUGGCAAGACCAGUGUCACUUUAAGAUCAGUGUCUCUGAUAUUCUCAUCUCCCUCUCUCCCAAUCUCCCUUCUCGGACUCACAGAAUUCGUACGCUUAUGCUCUGGGUUGUGUGGGAGAGAAGGCCUUCUCUAGCAGUGUCCUGCACAAAUUGGGUAAGCCAGGCGCUCACUUGGUCUCCCUUUUUUUCUCAUGGGAGGAAUACCAGCUUUCUUUUUUUUCUCUAAAGUGUGCCACCUUCUGGGAGGAAUAAUGCUUGCAAAGUUCCUCCCACCCACUCCAAGGCAUCCAAACUCUUCUGGGUUGUUUUUUGUUUUUUCGCGCUGGAACUUUUCCUCCAUAAACCUGAACUUUCCUGAAGGCCCUCUUGUCUGUAAAUAUCUGCCCGAGUCUGUGUUUUCCAGGCACCACGACCAAAAGGGAUUGGAUCUGGUUCACAGGAUCCUGCUGGUUCCACUGGGGUCUAUCUGCCUAUUAUCCAGUUCACAGGUGAGUAAGGCUUCUCCUAAAUCCCUUGGCAUAUGGUGCUAGAUAACGCAGGCUCCCACGGAAGCACUUUCAUUCCUGGAUAGAUGCCCAAUUUUAGAUGUUGAGAGAGGGCAAAUGAGGAAUGUCUUACGCUGCUAUGAUGUUGCUCCGUUAACUUUUAUGAUUUAAAUUGAUUUUCUUAAUUUCAUAUUUGUUGGCUGACCAAACGUCUAUCACACGAAUUUCUACCUUUGCCAGAAGAAGAAUUUAGCCACAUUUACAAUAUAUAUUAUCUAUCUAUCUAUCUAUCUAUCUAUAUAUUUAGGUCACAAUAAUUUCAAUUGUAGCUCAGCUUUAGUUCUUACUUCAUCCUUAGUUUUAAUCAUCCGUUAGUUGGCUGGGCUUAUUCAUCAAGUUGUUUAUUUUUCGAACGAUAUAUGCUAUAUUUAUCAUAUUCAAUAAGUUCUUAAUGUUAAGUUUUGGUUUUAAUUUGCAUGACAACUCGAUGGAUAUAAGAACUUGCCUCUUUCGCUGUUUUUCUCAGACAGUGUAGACAUUAUUCUUCUAUUUCCCGCCAUCGAUGGGCCUGUGGCAAAGUCCAGGGUGGGGUUCACAUUCUGCAUUGUAAGCAACAGACUUUUUCUUUGUACCGAAAAAUAAGAAACUUUACCCAGACUGCUUUGUUUAUUUAUUCAAUGCUCAGAUUUAGUUGUCUUCUUAUUUCAAUGAAGUUUUCUUCUACUAAUGCUUAGCUGUUUUCCAUUGUGGGCUAGUCUUCAGGAACACCGAUUCUAUGCAUGUCAGAACUGCUCACUCUUUCUUAACAACCAUUUUCUCAUUGCUUUGACUUGGUUCACAGAGUCACUUUGACAUCAUGAUAUCUCUAACGUAGUUUUGAGAUAUCAGAAGGCAUUCUUAUCUUUCUGAUAAAAAUAUCAGAGGUAUUUUUCACCUCCCUUUUCUGUGCUGACUGCCUCCAGCUCAUGUUUCGUCUCUCUGUUAUGUCUUUACCCUUUCCAUUUUACCUGUUAGAGGAGUUCUUUUUCCAGCGUGAGUCGUCCAUAAUUUCUUCAAGUAUGAAAAAGUAUUUCUAUGCAAUUACCUAAUUUCUCCCGAAACAUGGAUUCUCAUACAAAGUGUUCACCUGCUUUUCUAUGCUAAUUUUAGUGGGGACAACAAUAAAACAACGUGGAGAGGGUGUCUAUGCAUGGAUCCCCUGGAACUUCUUUCUGGACAUUGUUCGUGUUGUAUGGGGCAGCUUUUCAAGCCAGUCAUUUGUUCAAAGAUAGUUUUGGAAGGGAUGGGUAUAAUAAUAUAGAUGAUCCGGAAAUUUCCAAUUUUAUACCAGGGAUGGUAUGAAACCAUCAAAAGAUUUUAGCAAAGAGGGAAAUCAUAUAGACACACAUUAAGAACAAUGCAAGCAGGGGCGCCUGGGUGGCGCAGUCGGUUAAGCGUCCGACUUCAGCCAGGUCACGAUCUCGCACUCCGUGAGUUCGAGCCCCGCGUCAGGCUCUGGGCUGAUGGCUCAGAGCCUGUUUCUGAUUCUGUGUCUCCCUCUCUCUCUGCCCCUCCCCCGUUCGUGCUCUGUCUCUCUCUGUCCCAAAAAUAAAUAAACGUUGAAAAAAAAAAUUUAAGAACAAUGCAAGCAGAAUUUGUGUGGAAUAGAGAAGGAAAAAACAUAUAAAUAAAUAUGAUACCAUUUUGAAACAACUGAUAGGGGAAAAAAAUCCAUUGUUUAUCUCUAAAUACCUAUGGAGAGCUCUUAAAAUCAACUCAUUUUCCAAACUUUUCAACCACCCCCCACCAUUUUCUGAUGGUAUUCAAAUGGUCUUCACCUCCAGAACCCUGAGUGAAUUCUUUUAUUUUAUUCCAACUAGUUAUUUCAUUGAGAUAUAGUGGACAUACCCAAGUGAUUUCUUUAACACUUAAUAUCUCAUUUAUGAGAAAAGUAUUUUAAGUAUUAAUAAUAAUACUAUUCGAAUUUGGAAACUUUGGCAGUCCAUAACCUACAUUUAAUCCUCUCCUAACCCACUUCACAUUUUCUAUUUCUUGACUCAUCUUUGAUGGGUUUUUUGGUUUCGUUGUUGUUUAACAAAUCACCUCCAAAAUUUAGCCUCUUAAAACAACAAACAUUGAUUAUAUUGCAGUCUUUCUAGAUCAAGAAUCUGAAUGUCCCUCAGUGAGAUGCUCUGCCUGAGAGUUUCCCAAGAUGUUGGACAGGGAGACAGGCAUGUCAGGGUUCAACUGGAGGACGUUCUGUUUCCAACCUCACUCACAUGGCUGCUAGCUGGCUUCCGAUCUUCAAUGCCUUUUGGCUGUAGAUAUCAGUUGUUUGACAUGUGGAUCUCUCCAUAGGGUCCUAAGGAAUAAAGAGGAAGAAAGUUUAUGGGACACAGAAUUCAGUUUUUUGUAGCCUAAUGUCAAAAGUGACAUUCCAUCAUUUUGUUGUAUUCUAUGCAUUAGAAGUUAGUUACCAGGUCCAGCCCGUGCUCCUGCGUGCAAAAUACAUUCAUCCUCCCAAAAGCCCCAAACAUCUAAUCCCACUAAAAUAUCAGCUCCUAGUGUGGAAUCUUACCAGAUAAAUCAGGUUCAUAGGUGGAUGCUUCUUUGGACAUCGUUCUUUAAGUACAGUUUCUCUAGGUAUACAGAUCUGAGAAAUUAAGGAGACAAGCUUCUUAUAACAAAAUGUACACUGUCAUACGAUGAGGAGAAAUGGAUUUUUGUCCACACUGUUUAUCUUUGGGUCUUUAAGGUCUCAAAAAUUUUAAGAUCCUCGACCUCUUGCCAAUUGUUUUCUAGAAAGGUUGUGUCAAUUAAAUUCCAUGCUGAUUAAGCAUAACAGUGCCACUUCUCAUUCUUAACAUCCCCAAGAACUUUCCUUUCAUUUCUCUAAUAUUUGCCAGUUUAAUAGGUGAAAAUGGUACUCACUUAUUUGGUACUUUAUUCUAGUCAUUUUGUUGUCAUAGGGAUCAUUCAUUCAUACUUCUAGCUUGAAUGUACCUUAGUAGAGUGUAAAGGAUUAAACCCAGUUGUAGUUCGGACCCACAGAACUGUGCCUGACUUAGGUUUCACUUAGUAGUUGCAACAUACUAGGUCUUUCAACUGUCAGUUUGUAUAAACCCUAGAAUCACAUUGCGAGGAUUCACGCCCUCCCUUUCCUGUUUACUUAUUUUGUUGCCUUGGACAAGAUAUAGUAAUCUUUUCAGACCUAUUUCUUAGUACGAUGAGGAGAUUUCUUAGUACAACCAGUACAAUCGGGAGAUAAGGAUGCUUUGUGGAGACUGAGACCACAUGUGUAAUGGGUUUAAGAAAGUUUCUGGGGGGCGCCUGGGGGGCUCGGUCGGUUGAGCGUCCGACUUCGGCUCAGGUCAUGAUCUCAGUUCGUGGGUUCGAGCCCCGCGUCGGGCUCUGUGCUGACGGCUCGGAGCCUGGAGCCUGCUUCGGAUUCUGUGUCUCCCUCUCUCUCUGCCCCUUCCCCGUUCAUGCUCUGUCUCUCUCUCUCAAAAAUGAAUAAACGUUAAAAAAAAAUUAAAAAAAAAAACAAAGUUUCUGGCUGGUGGUAGGCUCACUCCUCUGUUGGCCUAAUAUAUGUUGCCUAUGCUAAGUUACAGUCUCUACAAAAAUAAACACACACACACACACACAAGUUAUCCAUAAAAGUAUAUAUAACAUCCUUUGAUCAUUCAAAAAAAGUCAUGGAAAAGGGUGUUAUUGUUAUCUUUUAAGUAAUUUGUGAAGUAGGGAGGAAAGUCAUUGUGUAUAUCGGAUUUUUAAUCUGCAAAGGCUCCUUUGCAGUUUUGCACAGGAAGCACUAAACUUUAUCACAGGGUAUAGCCCUGAUCUGCACAGUCAACAACACAGUUAUUGGUGCAUCAAAUUAAAUAAUGUGGAUUUAGGCACUUGGCAGGUAGCUUUAACUUUCUUACUUCGGUAUACAACUAUGUAAAACUCAGGUACAAGGAGGGAUGUAGAUUACUUACCUAACAAAGAUUUCAGAGUCUGUUUCAGACUUCGUUAAAGCCCAAGAAGUUUUUCUCUUUAAAACUACACUUCUUUCUGAGCCUGGCAAUGGGGAAAGAGGGAAAGAGCAACUGAAUGGUUUUGAAGGUGACGGAGACAGACGUGGGAAGCGACUUUCUCACUGGGUGAGGAGUCUAUAAGGAAAGUGAGUUAAGGGAGGAGGGAUGGUUGGCGGUUAUGGGUGCUCCCCCCCUGCCUCUGGGCUAUCUGGGACGCGCAUAAAGGGAAAUUUACUUCAAGAGUAUGUGGAAGGAAUUAGAGGUUUAUGGAAUGGCAUUCGUGGUGUUAAGAACAAAACAACAGGUCCAAAAUGGAGUCACUUGUGUUAAGCUCCACAUUACCGAAAAGACUUAAUUAUAAUUUCAGCUUUCCCAGAAAUGGCAUCUUAAGCCAGGCAAUCAGAAAUCGCCUGAUCAGUGCUAGCGAGGUUAUUUGCCCGAUAGACCCCUGCGAUCCCCUAAAGGAAGGUACCUUUGUGAAGAUCGACCUUUUUUUCUAACACAACUUGCUCGAUGCUACUCCCUUCUUUUAUCUUGUAGAGUCUUUCAUUUUGUAAAACUCUUCAAAGCUUCCUUCCGUCUGCUAGACCGGAUGCUGCUGACUCGAAUCCAUUUUUGUUCAAAUAAACCUUCAGCAUUUUAAAUAUGUUUCAGUUUACCUUUCAACAAUGGGGUGAUAUCUCCAGGGAGCCGGUCAUAGGAGGAGGUCGGAGUUUUAGAGGUCAGGGUAUGUCCACUUACCAACCUACGUCCACAUAGUAACAGAUGAAAAUAAGUUCCCAUAUGCCAACUUUCCCCUCCCUUCCCAUUUUCCCCUCUUACUGACAUCUUGCAUUAGCGUGGUGCAUUUGUUGCCAAAAAAAUCCAUACUUUCCAUUAAGGCUGUCUCUAUUUAUAUAUUCUCUGUGUUUUGACAAAUCUAUAAGAACAUGUCCAGCAUUACAGUAUCAGACAGAAUAGUUUCACUGCCCUGAAAAUCCCGUGGGCUCUGCCUCUUUAUCCCUCCCUUCUCUUACCCCUCAGCCUUGUGAAUUACAGAUCUUUUCACUGUCUCCAUAGUUCUGCCUUUUCCAGGAUGCCAAAUUGUUGGGGUUUUCUAGUAUGUAGCCUUGUCAGAUCGUCUUCUUUCACUUAGCAACAUGCAUUACAGUUUCUUUUAGGUCUUUUCUUGACCUAAGGACUGCCACCCCCCCCCCCCACUCCUUACUUAAGUCCCUAGAUAAUAUGCCAUUGUUUGUAUGUUCCACACUGCUUAUCCAUCCAUCUAUUGACAGACAUGGCGGCUGUGGGACAGACAGACAGACAAGCUGCUACAAACAAGCUUGGGCAGGGGCGCCUGGGUGGCUCAGUCCGUUAAGCGUCCGACUUCAGCUCACGUCACGAUC